GCGUACUGACGAUUGCCACGAUAGUUCGGGAUGGCCUCGUAGCAAAUGAAGAAUAUGACGCCUGUCCGAAGACCUUAUAGGGCUCUCUACCUCCCACCACAUCUUGGUAAUAACAAUUGUUUUCCUACUACAUCAUACCUAAUUUUAUCUAGCUGUCGGCAUAACCGAGAAAAAAAUUAUUGAGUUUCACAAAAAUUACUCAAUGAUUUCACGAAUCACCAAUAGCUUGCCAAACGAAGGAAUUAUCCUCGUGAUUAGACAGUGGAUAUAGCCGACUAUGUCUGCACGAUUUCUUGAAGUAAAAUCGUCGAAUCAUCGGUCGUUGACCUCUUUGAUAAACCAUCACCGUUAAAUAUGAAUCGAAAAAAAAAUUAUACAUGCUGCUGGUUAACUAGGUAUGACAUUGCCAAUUUAUCUUUGCACCGGAAGUUUUUUUUCCGUAACGUUCCAUUGAUAGAUAUUUGUACCAACGUUUCCUAUACUUUGAACUAUAUUUAAUAGCUAAAUAUAAGCAUACCAGGAAUUUGUUGUGAUUAUUGUGACAAGAUAACCAUUCCUUCAGUGUUUUAGCAUCCUGAUGCUAUUUGUCAUGCUCUUCGAAGGGGUGCAAUAAGUGAGCAGUAUAGUAAUUACGAGACAGGAUGUCAGGUUCAAAGAACAUCCGUUGAAAAAAUGAUGCAAAACGGUAGAGUAAAUAAUAGCGGAGACUCCGAUUGCUUUCACAUUCGUGAAAUAUUUUCCCACUUAAAUUCAAUUCGAUUGAUUUCAAUCACAACGCUUGAGACUUUGUUUUAUUCUGUUUUCUCUACCACUGUUAUCUGGACUCUAUGCCCCACACAUCUUGAAUUGUGUUAAACCAUAUUUUUUAGCUUACAAUUAGAUCAAAGAAUGCAAACGCAGCAUGUAAAAACAGGUAUAAUGUACCCACAAAAGAUGUCGCAAAAAUUUGAUAUCGUACGAAAUAGGUCACACGAUACUCGUAUUUAAAAGUUCCCCGUUUGUGUUAGCAUAUUUUUGGCGAUUGCCAUAGAGAAAAUAUAUCACAAGCCUCAAUUUCAGGAGAUCGCGCUUCAUAGCUGCUCAACUAUGACUGUGAGCAAUUAUAUUCUACAGAACUUUGACUAAUCACAAUUGCCUCGUAACUUGAUUACUAAAAGCCACCACGUGAUAUAAACUCCCUCGAAAAGUUCUGACAAAUUUCGGGGCUCUUAAGCGAACAGGUGCAACUUAAAUUAUAACAUGUGCACAAAAACUGAAGGCCUGACUUGUAUACUUGAUUCGCUGACAAAACUUCCUUACGUCUGAUGACGCAGUUUAGAACCAACAACGGCAUGAUACGUCUACAUUUCGAGAUUGUGUGUUUCGUUGAUGCUCCUACCGGGCAAUUUUCAUAUCUAGGAGUACUUUUCAGUCCAAGCAUGUAAUUCCAAGAACUGUAACCAUCUCUUUGCGUUACCUGACACAAUCCCCGUGUUGCGUAACAGUACAACAUGUCUACUACGUGAGCUUCGAAACUUUGGAAUAACUAUCUUUGACCAGAAAUGAUAACAAAAUGGAGAUAAGGUUACGUCUUUUUUGGUGAUUCAACCAAUAACUGCUGAAAUAUGGAGAAUGUUUGGAAUUGCAGAAAAGAGCAAUGAGAGGUAAUUUACAUUCAGAAUAUUAUAAGACUGCACAAGCUUUUCUUUGAUAAACGAGUUGUGCAUGAUUUAUUGUUUAGAUGAUAUAUUAUGUUUGUUGACUUGAAACAUACAUGUAUUAUACUUGCAAUGGUACCAGUGUCAAUUAAUUCACGAGUACGUGGUCACAUGAGUAUAUUUUCACACCUAUUCGAGCAGAUGAAUUCGAUUUGUACAAAUAAGUUGUUUGUCAUCUAGAAAUAAGUUCGAUUCUGCUCUUAGCUAUUCGUUGGCAAGGUUCGAUACUUAUCUUAUA
Molecule: long non-coding RNA, 1935 nt
Organism: Neodiprion fabricii
Lineage: Eukaryota; Metazoa; Arthropoda; Insecta; Hymenoptera; Diprionidae
Exons: 2
Source: RefSeq, a predicted model, not a curated record